This 547-nucleotide ribosomal RNA is filed under the name uncultured bacterium. Its description in RNAcentral is "bacterial SSU rRNA". It matches the Rfam family "Bacterial small subunit ribosomal RNA", at positions 355 to 896 of the family's 1533-position model. The record is from RNAcentral.
UAGGGAAUUUUUCACAAUGAGCGAAAGCUUGAUGGAGCAAUGCCGCGUGAACGAUGAAGGUCUUUAGGAUUGUAAAGUUCUUUUAUUUGGGAAGAAUGACUUUAGCAGGUAAUGGCUAGAGUUUGACUGUACCAUUUUGAAUAAGUGACGACUAACUAUGUGCCAGCAGUCGCGGUAAUACAUAGGUCGCAAGCGUUAUCCGGAUUUAUUGGGCGUAAAGCAAGCGCAGGCGGAUUGAAAAGUCUGGUGUUAAAGGCAGCUGCUUAACAGUUGUAUGCAUUGGAAACUAUUAAUCUAGAGUGUGGUAGGGAGUUUUGGAAUUUCAUGUGGAGCGGUGAAAUGCGUAGAUAUAUGAAGGAACACCAGUGGCGAAGGCGAAAACUUAGGCCAUUACUGACGCUUAGGCUUGAAAGUGUGGGGAGCAAAUAGGAUUAGAUACCCUAGUAGUCCACACCGUAAACGAUAGAUACUAGCUGUCGGGGCGAUCCCCUCGGUAGUGAAGUUAACACAUUAAGUAUCUCGCCUGGGUAGUACAUUCGCAAGAAUG